This 492-nucleotide ribosomal RNA is filed under the name uncultured bacterium. Its description in RNAcentral is "partial 16S ribosomal RNA". It matches the Rfam family "Bacterial small subunit ribosomal RNA", at positions 29 to 507 of the family's 1533-position model. The record is from RNAcentral.
AGUGAACGCUGGCGGUAGGCCUAACACAUGCAAGUCGAACGGCAGCACAGUAAGAGCUUGCUCUUACGGGUGGCGGGUGGCGGACGGGUGAGGAAUACAUCGGAAUCUACUUUUUCGUGGGGGAUAACGUAGGGAAACUUACGCUAAUACCGCAUACGACCUACGGGUGAAAGCAGGGGAUCUUCGGACCUUGCGCGAUUGAAUGAGCCGAUGUCGGAUUAGCUAGUUGGCGGGGUAAAGGCCCACCAAGGCGACGAUCAGUAGCUGGUCUGAGAGGAUGAUCGGCCACACUGGGACAGAGACACGGUCCGGACUCCUACGGGAGGCAGCAGUGGGGAGUAUUGGACGAUGGGGGCAAGCGUGAUACAGCCAGACGCAGUGAGGGAAGAAGGCCGUCGAGUUGUAAAGGCCUUUAGUUGGGAAAGAAAAGCAGCAGGUUAAUACCGUGCUGUUCUGACGGUAACCAAAGGAUAAGCACCGGCUAACUUCGUG